GACGAACGCUGGCGGCGUGCCUAAUACAUGCAAGUAGAACGCUGAAGGAGGAGCUUGCUUCUCUGGAUGAGUUGCGAACGGGUGAGUAACGCGUAGGUAACCUGCCUGGUAGCGGGGGAUAAUUAUUGGAAAGGAUGGCUAUUACGCCUUAUUAGAGGUUGUUGCUUGAUAACUUUUUGAAAGUUGCAUUUGCACCACUACCAUAUGGCCUUGCGUUGUAUUAGCUAGUUGUGGGGUUACCGGCCCACCAAGGCGACGAUACAUAGCCGACCUGAGAGGGUGAUCGGCCACACUGGGACUGAGACACGGCCCAGACUCCUACGGGAGGCAGCAGUAGGGAAUCUUCGGCAAUGGACGGAAGUCUGACCGAGCAACGCCGCGUGAGUGAAGAAGGUUUUCGGAUCGUAAAGCUCUGUUGUAAGAGAAGAACGAGUGUGAGAGUGGAAAGUUCACACUGUGACGGUAUCUUACCAGAAAGGGACGGCUAACUACGUG
This 495-nucleotide ribosomal RNA is filed under the name uncultured bacterium. RNAcentral describes it as "partial 16S ribosomal RNA". It matches the Rfam family "Bacterial small subunit ribosomal RNA", at positions 28 to 507 of the family's 1533-position model. The record is from RNAcentral.